RNAcentral lists this transfer RNA (61 nucleotides) under Semnoderes armiger. Its description in RNAcentral is "tRNA-Ser". The record is from RNAcentral. Lineage: Eukaryota; Metazoa; Kinorhyncha; Cyclorhagida; Kentrorhagata; Semnoderidae.
GGAAGGUUAGGAUAAGGACCCCCUCAGUAUAAGGAUAAGGAGUCCUUAUCCUAACCUUCCU